This is a long non-coding RNA of Mastomys coucha (southern multimammate mouse), 1263 nucleotides long. RefSeq lists it as uncharacterized. The record is from RefSeq and is a predicted model, not a curated record. The transcript has 2 exons. Lineage: Eukaryota; Metazoa; Chordata; Mammalia; Rodentia; Muridae.
GCGACGUUGUAAGGGCGGGGUCUCCGCUGCUGGAGAAGCUCCGCGUCGCAGCUCCUCCUGCGUCGCCCUGAGUAAUGAGAAGGGGGAAACCGAGGCUGGAGCAACCGAUGGGACGAGGAAGAGAGGGGGGUCAAACGAAGGCUGGGCAUUUCAUAGUGAGAAACUGGAUACGGAGAUGGAAAAAACCAAAGACCAAGACAGGCUAAACUAGAGGACUGGGGCGGGGCGGUCACCUUGUCUGGGAGGUACAGGUCCCGCCCCAAACAUGGAAGCCCCGCCUCUGAUCCUCUACUAGAAAAAAAAAGCCACCUGGAACCACGCCCACUCACCCCGAGGAGCAGACCCUGGAAGAAAUGGACGUCCGGUUGUGCACGCUCUGGCUCUUGGCACACCAGGAGCAGCAACGAGCGGCUCCGUCCUCGGGGCAUCACCGCGUCGCAGCGUACGAUGGCAUCGAGAGGAUAUGACUCUAGUUCCUCCUGCAGGACGGGGUCGCAGGGUAAACGGAGGCACAGAUUCCUAUUACUACUAGAGCAGUGCCCAGGACUUGGGGCAAGGCAACCGAAAGAGUUCAAGGGCCGAGAAAUAACACCCUGUUUAAGAGCCGAGACUUCAAAGCACAGCUUGCCAAAGUUCCCAGGGGAAGGACGAUUCACCCUCAGAUCUCAGCCCCAUUUCUCUUUCCACCCAAGUGCUCCCUGGCACCUUGGAGACCAGAUCAAGCAGAGUGACUUGACCAGGUGACACUCUGAGUAGCAUCUCCUGUGCCCAGACGCGCCCCUGGCUGUCCAUGACUGCCAGCUUUCUGGAAGCAUCUUCUACAGUGUGCACGCCAUCUUCCUCCCCCAAGCAGAAGGUGACCAGGUGCUGGCAGGAGACAAAAUACGGCAGUUGAGUCCCAGGCAAUGCCAAGCUGGUGCUAGACCGGCUAAGGGCUUCUAGAGGUAGUUCCAGUUCAGCCUAGCCUAGUUCCUUCAGCAUGCUUUCCUCAGACCCUUUGAGUCCAGACCUCAGUUUACCUCCCUCAGACUCAGGACUCCAGGCAUUAACCCUCUUCCUUCAGAUGCAGAAGACAUUAAAAAUAACAACAAUAACAAACAAACAGAAAACCAAAACAAACAAAAUCCCCCCCCCCAAAAACCCAGCAGGGUUCCUUCAGUGGCCAGCACUGAUUAGAUUUCCUUCCAAUUAGGACAUCUUCAAGCCAAGAUUGGAGGCUCUUCAAGGGCAACAAAUAAUAAAGAUAGAACUCUUUUAAAUGCC